Molecule: transfer RNA, 85 nt
Filed under: Alphaproteobacteria bacterium
Lineage: Bacteria; Pseudomonadati; Pseudomonadota; Alphaproteobacteria
Description: tRNA-Leu
Rfam family: tRNA
About the family: Transfer RNA (tRNA) molecules are approximately 80 nucleotides in length.
Source: RNAcentral
GGGGACAUGGCGAAACUGGUAGACGCAAGGGACUUAAAAUCCCUCGGGUUCUCCCGUCCGGGUUCGAGUCCCGGUGUCCCCACCA